Long non-coding RNA from Rhinopithecus roxellana (golden snub-nosed monkey), 1176 nucleotides. RefSeq lists it as uncharacterized. The record is from RefSeq and is a predicted model, not a curated record. The transcript is spliced from 3 exons. NCBI's taxonomy places the organism in Eukaryota, Metazoa, Chordata, Mammalia, Primates, Cercopithecidae.
UCUGGCUGGCGGGCGCUUUGUUUCGCCUUCGCUACAGUAGGCUCUUUCUGUUAGUCUCCGCUGCUACUUCUUGGCUCUGGGAGGCCCAGGUGGCUCUGCAGCAGCCUCUGCCACCCUGUGACCUGCGGGUAUUGGGACAUCCCUAGCUGACGCCAGGACACCCGGGAAGCCGAGGAGUGGACUCCGUGGCUUUUGAGGAUGUGGCUAUGAACUUUACCCAGGAGGAAUGGGCUUUGCUAGAUUCUUCUCAGAAGAAUCUCUGCAGAGAAGUGAUGCAGGAAACCUGCAGGAACCUGGCUUCCGUAGGAAACAAAUGGAAAGACCAGAAUAUUGAAGAUCACUUCGAAAAACCUGGGAAAGAUAUAAGAUAAUUUGCACUGAGAAGAGGAAAUAAAGUCCUCUGAAGGAAUCUUAGCAUGGAAGCAUUCAUACUGGAGAGAGACCCUGUGAAUGUAAACAAUGUGGCAAAGCCUUUAGUCAUUUGAGUUCCCUUUGUAACCAUAGAAGUACUCAUACUGGAGAGAAACCCUAUGAAUGUAAACAAUGUGACCAAGCCUUCAGUCGCCUCAGUUCCCUUCACCUCCACGAAAAAAUUCAUACUGGAGAAAAACCCUAUGAAUGUAAGAGAUGUGGUAAAGCCUACACUCGUUCCCGUCACCUUACUCCCCAUGAAGAAGUCAUGAUAUAGAGGCUGGGUGCAGUGACUCAGCCUAUAAUCCCAGCACUUUGGGAGGCCAAGGUGUGUGUAUUGCUUGAGCCCAGGAGUUCAUAACCAGCCUGGAUUAAAACAGUGUGAAACAACCUGGUCAACAUGGUGAAACCCUGUCUAUGCAAAAAAUAAAAUAAUGCCGGGCGCGGUGGCUCACGCCAGCUACUCAGGAGGCUGAGGCAGGAGAAUGGCGUGAACCCGGGAGGCAGAGCUUGCAGUGAGCCGAGAUCGCACCACUGCACUCCAGCCUGGGCGACAAAGUGAGACUCCGUCUCAAAAAAAAAAAAAAAGAAAAUAAUUAACUGGGCAUGGUGGCAUAUUUCAGUUGUCUUAAUUCUUUUUCAAGGACAUAAAAAGCCAUGGGGGGUUGGGGGGAAGCCCUGUGCAUGCGGAUCACGAGGUCAGGAGAUCGAGAACAUCCUGGCCAACAUGGUGAAACCUCGUCUCUACUAAAAAUACAAAAGUUA